This 2925-nucleotide ribosomal RNA is filed under the name Escherichia coli. Its description in RNAcentral is "bacterial LSU rRNA". It matches the Rfam family "Bacterial large subunit ribosomal RNA". Lineage: Bacteria; Pseudomonadati; Pseudomonadota; Gammaproteobacteria; Enterobacterales; Enterobacteriaceae. The record is from RNAcentral.
GGGUUGUGAGGUUAAGCGACUAAGCGUACACGGUGGAUGCCCUGGCAGUCAGAGGCGAUGAAGGACGUGCUAAUCUGCGAUAAGCGUCGGUGAGGUGAUAUGAACCGUUAUAACCGGCGAUUUCCGAAUGGGGAAACCCAGUGUGUUUCGACACACUAUCAUUAACUGAAUCCAUAGGUUAAUGAGGCGAACCGGGGGAACUGAAACAUCUAAGUACCCCGAGGAAAAGAAAUCAACCGAGAUUCCCCCAGUAGCGGCGAGCGAACGGGGAGGAGCCCAGAGCCUGAAUCAGUGUGUGUGUUAGUGGAAGCGUCUGGAAAGGCGCGCGAUACAGGGUGACAGCCCCGUACACAAAAAUGCACAUACUGUGAGCUCGAUGAGUAGGGCGGGACACGUGGUAUCCUGUCUGAAUAUGGGGGGACCAUCCUCCAAGGCUAAAUACUCCUGACUGACCGAUAGUGAACCAGUACCGUGAGGGAAAGGCGAAAAGAACCCCGGCGAGGGGAGUGAAAAAGAACCUGAAACCGUGUACGUACAAGCAGUGGGAGCCUCUUAAUGGGGUGACUGCGUACCUUUUGUAUAAUGGGUCAGCGACUUAUAUUCUGUAGCAAGGUUAACCGAAUAGGGGAGCCGAAGGGAAACCGAGUCUUAACUGGGCGUUAAGUUGCAGGGUAUAGACCCGAAACCCGGUGAUCUAGCCAUGGGCAGGUUGAAGGUUGGGUAACACUAACUGGAGGACCGAACCGACUAAUGUUGAAAAAUUAGCGGAUGACUUGUGGCUGGGGGUGAAAGGCCAAUCAAACCGGGAGAUAGCUGGUUCUCCCCGAAAGCUAUUUAGGUAGCGCCUCGUGAAUUCAUCUCCGGGGGUAGAGCACUGUUUCGGCAAGGGGGUCAUCCCGACUUACCAACCCGAUGCAAACUGCGAAUACCGGAGAAUGUUAUCACGGGAGACACACGGCGGGUGCUAACGUCCGUCGUGAAGAGGGAAACAACCCAGACCGCCAGCUAAGGUCCCAAAGUCAUGGUUAAGUGGGAAACGAUGUGGGAAGGCCCAGACAGCCAGGAUGUUGGCUUAGAAGCAGCCAUCAUUUAAAGAAAGCGUAAUAGCUCACUGGUCGAGUCGGCCUGCGCGGAAGAUGUAACGGGGCUAAACCAUGCACCGAAGCUGCGGCAGCGACACUAUGUGUUGUUGGGUAGGGGAGCGUUCUGUAAGCCUGUGAAGGUGUGCUGUGAGGCAUGCUGGAGGUAUCAGAAGUGCGAAUGCUGACAUAAGUAACGAUAAAGCGGGUGAAAAGCCCGCUCGCCGGAAGACCAAGGGUUCCUGUCCAACGUUAAUCGGGGCAGGGUGAGUCGACCCCUAAGGCGAGGCCGAAAGGCGUAGUCGAUGGGAAACAGGUUAAUAUUCCUGUACUUGAUGUUACUGCGAAGGGGGGACGGAGAAGGCUAUGUUGGCCGGGCGACGGUUGUCCCGGUUUAAGCGUGUAGGCUGGUUUUCCAGGCAAAUCCGGAAAACCAAGGCUGAGGCGUGAUGACGAGGCACUACGGUGCUGAAGCGACAAAUGCCCUGCUUCCAGGAAAAGCCUCUAAGCAUCAGGUAACAUUAAAUCGUACCCCAAACCGACACAGGUGGUCAGGUAGAGAAUACCAAGGCGCUUGAGAGAACUCGGGUGAAGGAACUAGGCAAAAUGGUGCCGUAACUUCGGGAGAAGGCACGCUGAUAUGUAGGUGAAGCGACUUGCUCGUGGAGCUGAAAUCAGUCGAAGAUACCAGCUGGCUGCAACUGUUUAUUAAAAACACAGCACUGUGCAAACACGAAAGUGGACGUAUACGGUGUGACGCCUGCCCGGUGCCGGAAGGUUAAUUGAUGGGGUUAGCGGUAACGCGAAGCUCUUGAUCGAAGCCCCGGUAAACGGCGGCCGUAACUAUAACGGUCCUAAGGUAGCGAAAUUCCUUGUCGGGUAAGUUCCGACCUGCACGAAUGGCGUAAUGAUGGCCAGGCUGUCUCCACCCGAGACUCAGUGAAAUUGAACUCGCUGUGAAGAUGCAGUGUACCCGCGGCAAGACGGAAAGACCCCGUGAACCUUUACUAUAGCUUGACACUGAACAUUGAGCCUUGAUGUGUAGGAUAGGUGGGAGGCUUUGAAGUGUGGACGCCAGUCUGCAUGGAGCCGACCUUGAAAUACCACCCUUUAAUGUUUGAUGUUCUAACGUUGGCCCGUAAUCCGGGUUGCGGACAGUGUCUGGUGGGUAGUUUGACUGGGGCGGUCUCCUCCUAAAGAGUAACGGAGGAGCACGAAGGUUGGCUAAUCCUGGUCGGACAUCAGGAGGUUAGUGCAAUGGCAUAAGCCAGCUUGACUGCGAGCGUGACGGCGCGAGCAGGUGCGAAAGCAGGUCAUAGUGAUCCGGUGGUUCUGAAUGGAAGGGCCAUCGCUCAACGGAUAAAAGGUACUCCGGGGAUAACAGGCUGAUACCGCCCAAGAGUUCAUAUCGACGGCGGUGUUUGGCACCUCGAUGUCGGCUCAUCACAUCCUGGGGCUGAAGUAGGUCCCAAGGGUAUGGCUGUUCGCCAUUUAAAGUGGUACGCGAGCUGGGUUUAGAACGUCGUGAGACAGUUCGGUCCCUAUCUGCCGUGGGCGCUGGAGAACUGAGGGGGGCUGCUCCUAGUACGAGAGGACCGGAGUGGACGCAUCACUGGUGUUCGGGUUGUCAUGCCAAUGGCACUGCCCGGUAGCUAAAUGCGGAAGAGAUAAGUGCUGAAAGCAUCUAAGCACGAAACUUGCCCCGAGAUGAGUUCUCCCUGACUCCUUGAGGGUCCUGAAGGAACGUUGAAGACGACGACGUUGAUAGGCCGGGUGUGUAAGCGCAGCGAUGCGUUGAGCUAACCGGUACUAAUGAACCGUGAGGCUUAACCUUACAACGCCGAAG